GACGAACGCUGGCGGCGUGCUUAACACAUGCAAGUCGAACGGAAAGGUCCUGCUUUUGUGGGGUGCUCGAGUGGCGAACGGGUGAGUAACACGUGAGUAACCCGUCCUUGACUUUGGGAUAACUUCAGGGAACUGGGGCUAAUACCGGAGAGGAGCUCCUGCUGCGUGGUGGUGUUUGGAAAGUUUCGGCUGUUGUGGCUGGACUCGCGGGUUAUCAGCUUGUUGGGGUGGUAGUUGCUGACCAAGGCUUUGAAGGGUAGCCGGCCUGAGAGGGGGGACGGGCUCCUUAGGCCUGCGGUAGGGCCCAGACGCCUAUGUGCCGCAGCAGUCGGGAGUCUUGCACAACGGCCGCGAGCCUGAUGCAGCGACGCCCCGUGCGUGAUGCCGUCCUUCGGGUUGUAAACCGCUUUCGCCUGUGCCGAAGCGUGAGUGACGGUACUGAGUCAAGAAGCACCGGCUAACUACGUG
This 468-nucleotide ribosomal RNA is filed under the name uncultured bacterium. RNAcentral's name for it is "partial 16S ribosomal RNA". It matches the Rfam family "Bacterial small subunit ribosomal RNA", at positions 28 to 507 of the family's 1533-position model. The record is from RNAcentral.